GAGAGAGGCUCGCUAGCAAUGAAGACUGCUAAUCUUUCCCUCCCUUAGUUGAACUCUAAGGCUCACUCA
This 69-nucleotide transfer RNA is filed under the name Omobranchus elegans (elegant blenny). Its description in RNAcentral is "tRNA-Ser". The record is from RNAcentral. Lineage: Eukaryota; Metazoa; Chordata; Actinopteri; Blenniiformes; Blenniidae.